RNAcentral lists this ribosomal RNA (1423 nucleotides) under Salmonella enterica. RNAcentral's name for it is "partial 23S ribosomal RNA". It matches the Rfam family "Bacterial large subunit ribosomal RNA", at positions 1396 to 2802 of the family's 2925-position model. Lineage: Bacteria; Pseudomonadati; Pseudomonadota; Gammaproteobacteria; Enterobacterales; Enterobacteriaceae. The record is from RNAcentral.
GCGAGGCCGAAAGGCGUAGUCGAUGGGAAACGGGUUAAUAUUCCCGUACUUGGUGUUACUGCGAAGGGGGGACGGAGAAGGCUAUGUUGGCCGGGCGACGGUUGUCCCGGUUUAAGCGUGUAGGUGUGUGUUCCAGGUAAAUCCGGUUCACUUUAACACUGAGGCGUGAUGACGAGGCACUACGGUGCUGAAGCAACAAAUGCCCUGCUUCCAGGAAAAGCCUCUAAGCAUCAGGUAACAUCAAAUCGUACCCCAAACCGACACAGGUGGUCAGGUAGAGAAUACCAAGGCGCUUGAGAGAACUCGGGUGAAGGAACUAGGCAAAAUGGUGCCGUAACUUCGGGAGAAGGCACGCUGACACGUAGGUGAAGUGAUUUACUCAUGGAGCUGAAGUCAGUCGAAGAUACCAGCUGGCUGCAACUGUUUAUUAAAAACACAGCACUGUGCAAACACGAAAGUGGACGUAUACGGUGUGACGCCUGCCCGGUGCCGGAAGGUUAAUUGAUGGGGUCAGCGCAAGCGAAGCUCCUGAUCGAAGCCCCGGUAAACGGCGGCCGUAACUAUAACGGUCCUAAGGUAGCGAAAUUCCUUGUCGGGUAAGUUCCGACCUGCACGAAUGGCGUAAUGAUGGCCAGGCUGUCUCCACCCGAGACUCAGUGAAAUUGAACUCGCUGUGAAGAUGCAGUGUACCCGCGGCAAGACGGAAAGACCCCGUGAACCUUUACUAUAGCUUGACACUGAACAUUGAGCCUUGAUGUGUAGGAUAGGUGGGAGGCUUUGAAGUGUGGACGCCAGUCUGCAUGGAGCCGGCCUUGAAAUACCACCCUUUAAUGUUUGAUGUUCUAACGUGGACCCGUGAUCCGGGUUGCGGACAGUGUCUGGUGGGUAGUUUGACUGGGGCGGUCUCCUCCUAAAGAGUAACGGAGGAGCACGAAGGUUGGCUAAUCCUGGUCGGACAUCAGGAGGUUAGUGCAAUGGCAUAAGCCAGCUUGACUGCGAGCGUGACGGCGCGAGCAGGUGCGAAAGCAGGUCAUAGUGAUCCGGUGGUUCUGAAUGGAAGGGCCAUCGCUCAACGGAUAAAAGGUACUCCGGGGAUAACAGGCUGAUACCGCCCAAGAGUUCAUAUCGACGGCGGUGUUUGGCACCUCGAUGUCGGCUCAUCACAUCCUGGGGCUGAAGUAGGUCCCAAGGGUAUGGCUGUUCGCCAUUUAAAGUGGUACGCGAGCUGGGUUUAGAACGUCGUGAGACAGUUCGGUCCCUAUCUGCCGUGGGCGCUGGAGAACUGAGGGGGGCUGCUCCUAGUACGAGAGGACCGGAGUGGACGCAUCACUGGUGUUCGGGUUGUCAUGCCAAUGGCACUGCCCGGUAGCUAAAUGCGGAAGAGAUAAGUGCUGAAAGCAUCUAAGCACGAAACUUGCCCCGA